CCUACGGGUGGCUGCAGUGAGGAAUAUUGGUCAAUGGGCGAGAGCCUGAACCAGCCAAGUCGCGUGAGGGAGUACUGCCCUAUGGGUUGUAAACCUCUUUUGUCGGGGAGCAAAAGCCGGACGUGUCCGGCUGUGAGAGUACCCGAAGAAAAAGCAUCGGCUAACUCCGUGCCAGCAGCCGCGGUAAUACGGAGGAUGCGAGCGUUAUCCGGAUUUAUUGGGUUUAAAGGGUGCGCAGGCGGAUUUUUAAGUCAGCGGUGAAAUCGUGGGGCUCAACCCCAUCCAGCCGUUGAAACUGGGGAUCUUGAGUGUGCGAGAGGUAUGCGGAAUGCGUGGUGUAGCGGUGAAAUGCUUAGAUAUCACGAAGAACCCCGAUUGCGAAGGCAGCUUACUAAACUGUGACUGACAUUGAUGCUCGAAAGUGUGGGUAUCAAACAGGAUUAGAUACCCUUGUAGUC
This 458-nucleotide ribosomal RNA is filed under the name uncultured bacterium. RNAcentral describes it as "partial 16S ribosomal RNA". It matches the Rfam family "Bacterial small subunit ribosomal RNA", at positions 338 to 795 of the family's 1533-position model. The record is from RNAcentral.